Molecule: long non-coding RNA, 1207 nt
Organism: Anas platyrhynchos (mallard)
Lineage: Eukaryota; Metazoa; Chordata; Aves; Anseriformes; Anatidae
Source: RefSeq, a predicted model, not a curated record
UUCUCAGGUACAGCGUGCAGAAACCAGAAGCUGCCUGCUGCUCAUCUGCAAACUGCUGAGAGCAAGGCAUAUUUACACAGACUGUUUUUGGCACUUAGGAAGGGAAAAAUCUAGAGUUUGUGCUGAAAAUUGAAAAGCCUUGUUUCCAGAUUGACUGCUGAUAGCAUUCUGUUCGUAGCACUCUCUUCACACAUUGCAUACAGCUGCAAGAUGCAGCUCUCUGUCCCACUGCAUAAUUCUCCAUGAACGCAGUUUCCUGAGUUAUACAAGCUAACCCACGUAAAAUAUCCUAGAAGAAAUGUACCACUGAUUUGUCCUGAGGAGACCAGUUUCAGUGUCCUGCACCAAGUUUCUGAAGACUAAGGUGAUGGAGGCAGCAGUCUGACUGGAAACAAAUCUCUUCCAUCAGGAGAAGUGUUCAUAAUGUAGCUCUGUUUAUCAAUGUACAAAAUGAGAAAUAUUGCAGCUUCUCAGUCUGCCACAUCAAGAUGUUCAGAACCAUUUAUGCUUUGCCAUUACAACAGCCAUCAUAUCUGUUCAACCAGGAAAAUAUUUCAGUGCUCUUGUGAUAAAUAUUUUGGUUAUAAGCAUUGUUAAUUUUGCAGUGCAUGAUGUAAUUGAGUACCCUUAAACAUACAUAAAUUGUUAAGCAUUCCGGGUACCUCUCAGCAUCCCAUCUGAUUAUGGAAAUGCUCAUAGGGAAGAUUUUUCCUCCCCUAAAUGUAAUAAACAUAUUUGUAUGAAAUACAUGAAUAAGUGAUGUUUAGAGGUAGGCAGAUUAGAACUAACCGUUUGGGAAGACAUCACAUACAUGUAAGUCAGAUUCCAUCUUGUAGUGCCAGAAAAGAUACAGGCGACUUUCCAUCGCUUGCUGAUCAAUGCUUAUCGUAUUGCAAAUGCUGAAGUAAUUUUGUUCAGAAUUAUUAGCCAGAAGCAGAUAGCUCAAAACUGCAAAGGCUGGUCAAAGAUAAGGAGGAGAGAGGGCCUUUUCCAGAACAGACUACUGGCAGGACUGGCCUCACCUUGUUUUUCUCAGAGAAACUAUGAUUGAUGUAAGAAUAACCCUAGACCAAAAGCCACUGCAUCUCCCUACAGUUCCAGCAGCUGCUAGGAAAUAAGGUUUCCUAUUAUUCUUAAGAAUAGGAUAGAAAUGAUAGUUUUCUAGCUCAGAGGAUAAUAAGAUUCCCCAAGGGCUCUCAUAACUUAG